Molecule: ribosomal RNA, 497 nt
Filed under: uncultured bacterium
Lineage: Bacteria
Description: partial 16S ribosomal RNA
Rfam family: Bacterial small subunit ribosomal RNA
Source: RNAcentral
GAUGAACGCUGGCGGCGUGCCUAAUACAUGCAAGUCGAGCGAACAGACGAGGAGCUUGCUCCUCUGACGUUAGCGGCGGACGGGUGAGUAACACGUGGAUAACCUACCUAUAAGACUGGGAUAACUUCGGGAAACCGGAGCUAAUAACGGAUAAUAUAUUGAACCGCAUGGUUCAAUAGUGAAAGACGGUUUUGCUGUCACUUAUAGAUGGAUCCGCGCCGCAUUAGCUAGUUGGUAAGGUAACGGCUUACCAAGGCGACGAUGCGUAGCCGACCUGAGAGGGUGAUCGGCCACACUGGAACUGAGACACGGUCCAGACUCCUACGGGAGGCAGCAGUAGGGAAUCUUCCGCAAUGGGCGAAAGCCUGACGCAGCAACGCCGCGUGAGUGAUGAAGGUCUUCGGAUCGUAAAACUCUGUUAUUAGGGAAGAACAAAUGUGUAAGUAACUAUGCACGUCUUGACGGUACCUAAUCAGAAAGCCACGGCUAACUACGUG